RNAcentral lists this ribosomal RNA (319 nucleotides) under uncultured eukaryote. RNAcentral describes it as "partial 18S ribosomal RNA". It matches the Rfam family "Eukaryotic small subunit ribosomal RNA", at positions 1470 to 1796 of the family's 1831-position model. The record is from RNAcentral.
CCCUUAGAUGUUCUGGGCAGCACGCGCGCUACAAUGGUCUUCGCAAACGGAUGCAUUCUCGAAGGAGAAUGCCAAUCUUGGAAUCUAUGCCUUGGUCGGGACAGUUGCUUGCAAUUUUUCGCCUCGAACCAGGAAUUCCUUGUAAUCGUGAUUCAUCACAUCACGAUGAAUACGUCCCUGCCCUUUGUACACACCGCCCGUCGCUCCUACCGAUCGAAGAGUUAGGUGAAUUGUUUUGAUCGAUAAGAUUUGACUAUGGUCAACUCUCGUUGUGAAAUUCUGUGAAUCUGACUGUUUAGAGGAAGGAAAAGUCGUAACA